GACGAACGCUGGCGGCGUGCUUAACACAUGCAAGUCGAACGGAAAGGCCCUGCUUUUGUGGGGUGCUCGAGUGGCGAACGGGUGAGUAACACGUGAGUAACCUGCCCUUGACUUUGGGAUAACUUCAGGAAACUGGGGCUAAUACCGGAUAGGAGCUCCUGCUGCAUGGUGGGGGUUGGAAAGUUUCGGCGGUUGGGGAUGGACUCGCGGCUUAUCAGCUUGUUGGUGGGGUAGUGGCUUACCAAGGCUUUGACGGGUAGCCGGCCUGAGAGGGUGACCGGGCAAAUAGGGAUGGGGGAACGGCCAGGGUGCCUACGGGGGGAAGGGGGGGGAAAAUUUGCAAAAGGGGCGGAAGGCGGAAAGAGGAACGCCGGGUGGGGAAGGACGGCCUUGGGGUAGUAAACCGCUUUCGCCUGGAACGAGGCGUUAGGGAGGGAAAUGGGGAAAGAAGCACCGGCUAACUACGU
RNAcentral lists this ribosomal RNA (467 nucleotides) under uncultured bacterium. RNAcentral describes it as "partial 16S ribosomal RNA". It matches the Rfam family "Bacterial small subunit ribosomal RNA", at positions 28 to 506 of the family's 1533-position model. The record is from RNAcentral.